This 226-nucleotide long non-coding RNA is filed under the name Lathyrus oleraceus (garden pea). RNAcentral's name for it is "Pisum sativum (pea) long non-coding RNA (PSAT_LNC009735)". The record is from RNAcentral. Lineage: Eukaryota; Viridiplantae; Streptophyta; Magnoliopsida; Fabales; Fabaceae.
GGAAACAGAAUUCCAAACCUGGACUUACAUCCGACUCCAAACACAAGCAAACCAGGAAACAGAAUGCCAAUAGAUGGGCUUACAUCCGACUCCAAACAAAAGCAAACAAGGAAACAGAAUGCCAAACAUGGACUUACAUCCGACUCCAAACAAGCACACGCUAACCAGCGAACGCCAAAGCAAAAGGUUAUCAGAUCAAUCAAACUAAUAAGGAGUCUGGAACUCG